This 251-nucleotide ribosomal RNA is filed under the name uncultured archaeon. RNAcentral describes it as "partial 16S ribosomal RNA". It matches the Rfam family "Archaeal small subunit ribosomal RNA", at positions 748 to 997 of the family's 1478-position model. The record is from RNAcentral.
CAGCCGUAAACUAUGCGCGUUAGGUGUAUCGGUGACCACGAGUUACCGAGGUGCCGAAGGGAAACCGUGAAACGUGCCGCCUGGGAAGUACGGUCGCAAGGCUGAAACUUAAAGGAAUUGGCGGGGAGCACCACAACAGGUGGAGCCUGCGGUUUAAUUUGGAUUCAACGCCGGACAUCUCACCGGAUAAGACAGCUGAAUGAUUGUCAAUCUGAAGGUUUUACAUGACUAAGCUGAGAGGAGGUGCAUGG